Scatophagus argus is the source of this 4151-nucleotide long non-coding RNA. RefSeq lists it as uncharacterized. The record is from RefSeq and is a predicted model, not a curated record. NCBI's taxonomy places the organism in Eukaryota, Metazoa, Chordata, Actinopteri, Scatophagidae. The transcript has 3 exons.
UCCCACCUCAAGGAAAUGGUCUUUAUUGACCAUUUCUAAUCGAAUAUUAGCUUAUUUCACCCUGCGUCAGAGGAUGAUUACUAGCUAGUUUACAUUAGAAUUAAAUAUCAUAGGUUACCUAAAAUACAUCAGAUGAGACAAACGAUAAAGGGGAAUUUUAAUAGGCCAAUGGACCUAUAAAAUAAAAUAAAUUUGACAGUAAGCCACGCAUGCACACAGUUAACAAAACAAGGGCUUAAAUUUGUUUUAACGGACAUCUAUUUUUUAAUCCACUGUUUUACGCAUGCGUCACCGUGCAUCUCUUCGUCAACGGCUCCCUGUCCGCUCUGAAUUACGUUCAGGGAUUAUUUAUUUUUAGCUCUGGCGUGUGUCUGCAUAUCGGGGUCUAGCUAGCUGAUACAUCCAGAUGGUUUUGUUAAGGUGCAUGUUUACGGAUUCCUGGAGAUUGUGAGUAAGGAGCGAGGCUGCACCGGUCUGUCCUUCAUUAAGAGCCAGCCAGAGCAGAGAGGUAUUUAUCACGACAGACUGAGCUUUCAUAACCCGGUGUUCACACACACACAGACACACACACACAGCACUGUAACCGAUAUAAAAGAGGUUAAGUGCUCUCAUAUUAAACUGCUAAAAUGUCAGAGGUAAGCUAACACCUGUUAGGACAAACUCAGACAACGCAAUAUGCUAGAGCAGUUAGCUGCUACAGAAAUUAUUUAUUUUUAUGGCAUGUAAAAAAAACUUUGUCAUAGCAAUAACAGCUACACAAAUAAAUAUGAAAGUAAGUAAAUGUCUAAACAUAAAAAAAACUGAGUGAACUUGGAAUUUUCAUAUACUGUAGGUUAUCUGUUGUGGGCCUUGGCAGCCUUUGUGGUUGUUCUGGGUCAGAUUUGAACUAAGUGCUUCCAGUUUCUAAAAACUACAGUAAGAAAGUAAUACACAGCAUGUGUUGCAACAGAAAUUUUUUUAUGAUAAAUCAACCAUAGGGGAGCUAUGUCCAAAUGUAAUUUAACAAAGGGUGCAGGACUUGUCAUUGUUACUUUGUCUACAAUGUCAAACAUGAAGGUUUUUUGGUUUGAAGAUCACCAGGGGGUUAAUUGAGUAGUUUAAUAUGUCAGGAGCUUUCCAGCAGUGAAAUGAAUGGAAAUCUAUUCAAUGCUUUUUGCUCUUACAACAGUGUGGAAAAUAAUUCAUACAGUAAAACUGCAAGAAAAACAAUACAGCUUAGCAACUGCUAUGAAAAAGUCAUAUUUCCUUACAUUACGGCUCAUCUGCAUGUUGUGGAUGUGGAUACUGACUUGCUGCUACACUCACUUUACGGGCUCCAGUGUGCUCCAUGACGCCUCAUGCGAGGUCAGACAGAGGACAGCAACCCCACUUCCCAUUUCCCUUCGAAACCUCAACCCCCAAUGCUACAGCAGGCCGGCUUAAGCUUCCCAGAAUGCACCUCUACAGCCCAGCCGGCUGACCCAGGGGUCGGCAGCUGUCAGUCACGUCCUCAGCUGGCUCUGCAUCUUCUGGACAUAGACUGGAGGAUGUGAGGGAGGCCUCUGAGAGGAGCCCUGGCUCUGCUUAUGGGAUCAUCUCUGUGCAUUCACAGCGGGUAAUUAAAUUAGCUAUCCUUCUUCUAUUCUAAUGCAAACCUCAGGUUGAAUCGCCACCCUGUACGUGAGAGGAAAGGCCCCAGGCAGUGAUAGCCAGACAAAGGCAACCAGCUUGUAUGAAGUACAGAGUUGUAGUUCAUACAAGCUAGCUGUCUGUGCUCAUGUGGCAGCUUGAUCUUAGUAACGUCUCCAUCUUUGUGCUGUUGGACGAUCACAGAUUUUCAGUGGAAAAGGUCAGCUCUUUGUUUACUCUCUACACCCAUGACAGACAUCAUUCACUGCAAUGAUAUCACGAAAUUAUUAUUGAAAAUUUUAAAAUGUUAUUUUUUGUUAUAAAGAUUAGUGCCCAGUCACUUAGUUCAUUUCAUUACAGUUGUGUCUGUGCAUGCAAGCAUGUGUCUAAGUUGUGUGUGUGUGUGUGUAUGGCAGAGGAUGUAAGGUGUAACAGGGUGUGUCAAAGCCCUGCAGACUGACAGCUAGGCCAGGAGGAUGUAGUAGAGGAAGGGGUGGAAGUGGCUCUCUAGCCUGAGGGCUGCAGAGUGCGCGGUGAGAGUGCAGGGUCACCUUUAUCCACGCUGUCUGUGCCCAGAGCGGCGGGGGGAGACCUGGGAGUCCCAACAGGCUGAACUGAUUUCCUGUGCAGGGUCAUGCCCAGGACAGGCUAGGGGGACAAGGGUUUAGGACCAUAGGGAGCAACGAGCGGAGCAGCAUGGUAUGGACAGCGGGUUGUUGCCAUUUGCUGCCAUUUUCCUGCUUUUAACCAUGCACCACUUCUUUUCCUGCGAGUGUGUGAAGAUAAAAUGCACACUUUUCUGUCUGAGACAAGAACAGUUGCCAGUUCCUGCACCUCUCUCAUAUUAUUUAAAUUCUAAUGCAGAGCUCAAAAUGGAUUCAAAUGGGGCUUAUGAGGCCUCUCAGCCCAAAUGGAUCUCAUGUUUACACACUUGUCCAUCAGCUAAGCAGUGUGCAGCCUCAGGUACCCAGAGAGAUGGUGAGAUGUCCCCAAAAGCAAUGGUACCGUGCCUGAACCUGGUAAGUGCUCUGUGUUUAGACAAGGUUUGUCUAGAUCGGAGAUAACAUGUCAGUAUCAAAAGCCUUUUAUCUUAAUGCUGAGUCUAACUCCUUCUGAGGGUAUUCAGUCAUUUUUGAGCUGCAUGGUAAAAUAUUAAUAACACGUUUUGUGCUCUGUGCCACAGGCAAAACAUAUUCUUCUGUCUUUACUUUUAUUAUUAUUAUUUUUGUUUUAUUGACUCUAAACAGGCAAGUGAAUUAAUUAAAACUGUGUUUGACUCUAAGCACAUGUUAUGACAAUCAUAACUAUUGUUUUGUUGUUUCCAUCAUUUCUAAAUGACAUUUCUGUAUUGUUCAGUACAAGCACAGGAAAUGAGCGGCCAUAGUUUAGAGUUGAACGACAAGGAAACGGCGGGCUGAAUGACUGCAGUUCACACACGCAUCGGUGGCCUGAUGUGCACUAACAGAAUGAGUGUUUUGUAUUUAAUCUGAUUGAGAGCAUUAAUGAUAGCCCACCGAUAUAUAACAGCCUGUCGGUUUUUGUUUGUUUGUUCGUUUUGCUUUCGAGAUGUUGCGUUAUUCUCAAAAUUUCCGGUCGAAUAAUCGUUUUGUUUAAAAUGAUAAGUAGUGUUGCAGCUCUUCGUUCAAAAUUAAUAUCAGCCCAUUUAGACAGCAGCCUCCUACAACUCACGAAGUUAACUGUAUAGGCCCGACUUUAAAUGAAUUAAAUGCAGGAGAAAUGACAUGUUUUAGGCUACAUUUGUGUUGACUGCAGACGCAUUUUCAUCGAAAAUUGUAGGCCUGUUCGUUCAGGCUUUAUCUCAAAAAUCAAAAAAGAAACAUGACGGGGAGAGGACAGUUAAAUGAGAGAAAGUGAAGCUUUCAGGUUUGGUUUAUAUCGACUAUCAUUUUUAAUGAUUAUGUUGGCGAAUGGAUUUGUGUGUAGUUUACUGGCCUCAUUUAUUUGACUUCGUCAGUGUUUUGAACCGAUUUCUACGUGUUUUAUAAUUGCAUCAGUCUUUCUGACUUCUUCGUUUUUUUGUUGUUGGUUUUUUUUUUUACAUUAGCCCUUUUUAUCGGUUAGAAAUGUGUUUUGUUAGGCAUGUUAAUUUUGUGACAUGUAGGCAGUCAGGGUCUUUUGUCUGAUGAUUUAGCGGUAGAAAACCUAGAAAUUUUUUUGCCAGUGUCCCACAAUAAUGCAUCGAAAUCUAAGCUAAUGGAAAAAUACAGAUUCGGGUAUGAGCUGUUUAAUAGAUUGAACACUACUGGGCGUGCAGAGAUCAUCAGUGAAGGAAAAGGAAGAAAGUCUCAGUCUGACAACGCAGUCUUUAUGAAAAGGUUUAAGCCCAGUCGUUAUGCCCGACUGUGCAGAACUAAAUUAAGUAGAAUAAAAUUAAAUGAAAUAGCCUAGAUAUGUGGAAAAUGUAAAAAUAAAUACAUAAAACAAUUAACGUUAUCAUGAAAGCCUUCAGUAAAAAAGGAGUGCGUUUUAAGUCGUUUUUUCUGGGCUGUUGUGUGUGUCUGCUGUCUGCUUCUCCUGUCCUG